UACGGAGGGUGCAAGCGUUAUCCGGAAUCACUGGGUUUAAAGGGUGCGUAGGCGGUCCGAUAAGUCAGCUGUGAAAUCGCUGGGCUCAACCCAUGCAAUUGCGGUUGAUACUGUCGGACUUGAAUGGGGUUGAGGCUAGCGGAAUGCGGCAUGUAGCGGUGAAAUGCUUAGAUAUGCCGCAGAACACCGAUUGCGAAGGCAGCUAGCUGGGCCUUUAUUGACGCUGAGGCACGAAAGCGUGGGGAGCAAACAGG
RNAcentral lists this ribosomal RNA (254 nucleotides) under uncultured bacterium. Its description in RNAcentral is "partial 16S ribosomal RNA". It matches the Rfam family "Bacterial small subunit ribosomal RNA", at positions 524 to 776 of the family's 1533-position model. The record is from RNAcentral.